AACGCUAGCUACAGGCUUAACACAUGCAAGUCGAGGGGCAGCAUGAUUGAAGCUUGCUUCAAUUGAUGGCGACCGGCGCACGGGUGAGUAACACGUAUCCAACCUUCCGUACACUCAGGGAUAGCCUUUCGAAAGAAAGAUUAAUACCUGAUGGUAUCUUAAGCACACAUGUAAUUAAGAUUAAAGAUUUAUCGGUGUACGAUGGGGAUGCGUUCCAUUAGGUAGUAGGCGGGGUAACGGCCCACCUAGCCUACGAUGGAUAGGGGUUCUGAGAGGAAGGUCCCCCACAUUGGAACUGAGACACGGUCCAAACUCCUACGGGAGGCAGCAGUGAGGAAUAUUGGUCAAUGGGCGCGAGCCUGAACCAGCCAAGUAGCGUGAAGGAUGAAGGUCCUACGGAUUGUAAACUUCUUUUAUAAGGGAAUAAAGUCACCUACGUGUAGGUGUUUGUAUGUACCUUAUGAAUAAGCAUCGGCUAACUCCGUGCCAGCAGCCGCGGUAAUACGGAGGAUGCGAGCGUUAUCCGGAUUUAUUGGGUUUAAAGGGAGCGUAGACGGGUCGUUAAGUCAGCUGUGAAAGUUUGAGGCUCAACCUUAAAAUUGCAGUUGAUACUGGCGUCCUUGAGUACGGUUGAGGCAGGCGGAAUUCGUGGUGUAGCGGUGAAAUGCUUAGAUAUCACGAAGAACUCCGAUUG
RNAcentral lists this ribosomal RNA (694 nucleotides) under uncultured bacterium. RNAcentral's name for it is "bacterial SSU rRNA". It matches the Rfam family "Bacterial small subunit ribosomal RNA", at positions 32 to 715 of the family's 1533-position model. The record is from RNAcentral.